This 377-nucleotide ribosomal RNA is filed under the name uncultured eukaryote. Its description in RNAcentral is "partial 18S ribosomal RNA". It matches the Rfam family "Eukaryotic small subunit ribosomal RNA", at positions 592 to 976 of the family's 1831-position model. The record is from RNAcentral.
CAAUAGCGUAUAUUAAAGUUGUUGCAGUUAAAAAGCUCGUAGUUGGAUUUCGGGGUGGCCUGCCUGGUCCACCGCAAGGUGAGUACUGGUCAGCCGCCCUUCCUCUCGAAAGCCCCGACUGCUCUUCAUUGCAGUGGUCGGGUAGUUCGGGACGGUUACUUUGAAAAAAUUAGAGUGUUCAAGGCAGGCUAUCGCCUGAAUACAUUAGCAUGGAAUAAUGGAAGAGGACCUCGGUCCUAUUUUGUUGGUUUCUAGGGCCGAAGUAAUGAUUAAGAGGGACAGUUGGGGGCAUUCGUAUUUAAUUGUCAGAGGUGAAAUUCUUGGAUUUAUGAAAGACGAACUAGUGCGAAAGCAUUUGCCAAGGAUGUUUUCAUUAA